UACGUAGGGUGCAAGCGUUGUCCGGAAUUAUUGGGCGUAAAGAGCUCGUAGGCGGCCUGUCGCGUCUGCUGUGAAAACUCGGGGCUUAACCCCGGGCCUGCAGUGGGUACGGGCAGACUAGAGUGCGGUAGGGGAGACUGGAAUUCCUGGUGUAGCGGUGAAAUGCGCAGAUAUCAGGAGGAACACCGGUGGCGAAGGCGGGUCUCUGGGCCGUAACUGACGCUGAGGAGCGAAAGCGUGGGGAGCGAACAGG
RNAcentral lists this ribosomal RNA (253 nucleotides) under uncultured bacterium. RNAcentral describes it as "partial 16S ribosomal RNA". It matches the Rfam family "Bacterial small subunit ribosomal RNA", at positions 524 to 776 of the family's 1533-position model. The record is from RNAcentral.